UUCGGAGGUNCUCGAGUGGCGAACGGGUGAGUAACACGUGGGUAAUCUGCCCUGCACUUUGGGAUAAGCCUGGGAAACUGGGUCUAAUACCGGAUAGGACCUUUUGGCGCAUGCCUUUUGGUGGAAAGCUUUUGCGGUGUGGGAUGGGCCCGCGGCCUAUCAGCUUGUUGGUGGGGUGACGGCCUACCAAGGCGACGACGGGUAGCCGGCCUGAGAGGGUGUCCGGCCACACUGGGACUGAGAUACGGCCCAGACUCCUACGGGAGGCAGCAGUGGGGAAUAUUGCACAAUGGGCGCAAGCCUGAUGCAGCGACGCCGCGUGGGGGAUGACGGCCUUUCGGGUUGUAAACCUCUUUCAGCAGGGACGAAGCGCAAGUGACGGUACCUGCAGAAGAAGCACCGGCCAACUACGUGCCAGCAGCCGCGGUAAUACGUAGGGUGCGAGCGUUGUCCGGAAUUACUGGGCGUAAAGAGCUCGUAGGUGGUUUGUCGCGUUGUUCGUGAAAACCGGGGGCUUAACCCUCGGCGUGCGGGCGAUACGGGCAGACUGGAGUACUGCAGGGGAGACUGGAAUUCCUGGUGUAGCGGUGGAAUGCGCAGAUAUCAGGAGGAACACCGGUGGCGAAGGCGGGUCUCUGGGCAGUAACUGACGCUGAGGAGCGAAAGCGUGGGGAGCGAACAGGAUUAGAUACCCUGGUAGUCCACGCCGUAAACGGUGGGUACUAGGUGUGGGUUUCCUUCCUUGGAAUCCGUGCCGUAGCUAACGCAUUAAGUACCCCGCCUGGGGAGUACGGCCGCAAGGCUAAAACUCAAAGGAAUUGACGGGGGCCCGCACAAGCGGCGGAGCAUGUGGAUUAAUUCGAUGCAACGCGAAGAACCUUACCUGGGUUUGACAUGCACAGGACGCCGGCAGAGAUGUCGGUUCCCUUGUGGCCUGUGUGCAGGUGGUGCAUGGCUGUCGUCAGCUCGUGUCGUGAGAUGUUGGGUUAAGUCCCGCAACGAGCGCAACCCUUGUCUCAUGUUGCCAGCGGGUAAUGCCGGGGACUCGUGAGAGACUGCCGGGGUCAACUCGGAGGAAGGUGGGGAUGACGUCAAGUCAUCAUGCCCCUUAUGUCCAGGGCUUCACACAUGCUACAAUGGCCGGUACAAAGGGCUGCGAUGCCGUAAGGUUAAGCGAAUCCUUUUAAAGCCGGUCUCAGUUCGGAUCGGGGUCUGCAACUCGACCCCGUGAAGUCGGAGUCGCUAGUAAUCGCAGAUCAGCAACGCUGCGGUGAAUACGUUCCCGGGCCUUGUACACACCGCCCGUCACGUCAUGAAAGUCGGUNACACCCGAAGCC
RNAcentral lists this ribosomal RNA (1337 nucleotides) under Mycobacterium sp. DWMJ-1079B2. Its description in RNAcentral is "bacterial SSU rRNA". It matches the Rfam family "Bacterial small subunit ribosomal RNA", at positions 79 to 1428 of the family's 1533-position model. The record is from RNAcentral. Lineage: Bacteria; Bacillati; Actinomycetota; Actinomycetes; Mycobacteriales; Mycobacteriaceae.